CUGAGCAGAGACAAAUGGCUGCUACAAUGUUCAGACUUCAUGAGUUUGUGAUUGUUUUUCUCAUCCUGACAGUUAACUGGACAGGAACUGAUGGUCAAACACUGACUGAGUCUGAACCAGUGAUUAAAAGACCUGGAGAAUCUCACAGACUGACCUGCAUAUAUUCUGGGUUUAGUAGCAAUCCUAACGUAGCUUGGAUUAGACAGGCAGCUGGAAAAGGUCUGGAAUGGAUCACUUAUAUCAGCAGUGGCAGCACCAUCUACUACUCUGACUCAGUAAGAGGCCGGUUCACCAUCUCCAGAACCAACAGCAGAAGUCAGGUGUAUCUGCAGAUGAACAGCCUGACAGCUGGAGAUUUUGCUGUUUAUUACUGCGCUCGAUAGACACAGUGA
This is a non-coding RNA of Poecilia latipinna (sailfin molly), 392 nucleotides long. The record is from the annotation of a RefSeq genome assembly. NCBI's taxonomy places the organism in Eukaryota, Metazoa, Chordata, Actinopteri, Cyprinodontiformes, Poeciliidae.